RNAcentral lists this ribosomal RNA (478 nucleotides) under uncultured bacterium. RNAcentral describes it as "partial 16S ribosomal RNA". It matches the Rfam family "Bacterial small subunit ribosomal RNA", at positions 28 to 507 of the family's 1533-position model. The record is from RNAcentral.
GAUGAACGCUGGCGGCGUGCUUAACACAUGCAAGUCGAACGGGAAGCCUUUUAUUGAAGCUUCGGCAGAUUUAGCUGGUUUCUAGUGGCGGACGGGUGAGUAACGCGUGGGUAACCUGCCUUAUACAGGGGGAUAACAACCAGAAAUGGUUGCUAAUACCGCAUAAGCGCACAGGACCGCAUGGUCCGGUGUGAAAAACUCCGGUGGUAUAAGAUGGACCCGCGUUGGAUUAGCUAGUUGGCAGGGUAACGGCCUACCAAGGCGACGAUCCAUAGCCGGCCUGAGAGGGUGAACGGCCACAUUGGGACUGAGACACGGCCCAGACUCCUACGGGAGGCAGCAGUGGGGAAUAUUGCACAAUGGGGGAAACCCUGAUGCAGCGACGCCGCGUGAAGGAAGAAGUAUCUCGGUAUGUAAACUUCUAUCAGCAGGGAAGAUAGUGACGGUACCUGACUAAGAAGCCCCGGCUAACUACGUG